This 85-nucleotide transfer RNA is filed under the name Lutibacter sp. Its description in RNAcentral is "tRNA-Leu". It matches the Rfam family "tRNA". Rfam says of the family: Transfer RNA (tRNA) molecules are approximately 80 nucleotides in length. Their secondary structure includes four short double-helical elements and three loops (D, anti-codon, and T loops). Lineage: Bacteria; Pseudomonadati; Bacteroidota; Flavobacteriia; Flavobacteriales; Flavobacteriaceae. The record is from RNAcentral.
GCGAGUGUGGUGGAAUUGGUAGACACGCUAGACUUAGGAUCUAGUGCCGCAAAGUGUGAGAGUUCGAGUCUCUCGACUCGUACCA